UACGUAGGGUGCAAGCGUUAAUCGGAAUUACUGGGCGUAAAGCGUGCGCAGGCGGUGAUGUAAGACAGAUGUGAAAGCCCCCCGGCUCAACUGGGGAGGGUCACGCGAUACUGAUCGACUCGAAGGCAGGAGAGGGUAGUGGAAAUUCCCGGUGUAGUGGUGAAAUGCGUAGAUAUCGGGAGGAACACCAGUGGCGAAGGCGACUACCUGGCCUGUUCUUGACGCUGAGGCGCGAAAGCUAGGGGAGCAACGGG
RNAcentral lists this ribosomal RNA (254 nucleotides) under uncultured bacterium. RNAcentral describes it as "partial 16S ribosomal RNA". It matches the Rfam family "Bacterial small subunit ribosomal RNA", at positions 524 to 775 of the family's 1533-position model. The record is from RNAcentral.